UACGGAGGGUGCAAGCGUUGCUCGGAAUUAUUGGGCGUAAAGGGCAGGUAGGUGGUCUUAUUUGUCUGGGGUGAAAGCCUUGAGCUUAACUCAAGAAGUGCCCUAGAAACGGUGAGACUAGAGUCCUGGAGAGGGUCGUGGAAUUCCCGGUGUAGCGGUGAAAUGCGUAGAGAUCGGGAGGAACACCAGAGGCGAAGGCGGCGACCUGGACAGGAACUGACACUCAACUGCGAAAGCGUGGGGAGCAAACAGGAUUAGAUACCCUUGUAGUCC
This 273-nucleotide ribosomal RNA is filed under the name uncultured bacterium. RNAcentral describes it as "partial 16S ribosomal RNA". It matches the Rfam family "Bacterial small subunit ribosomal RNA", at positions 524 to 796 of the family's 1533-position model. The record is from RNAcentral.